Molecule: long non-coding RNA, 1011 nt
Organism: Saccostrea cuccullata (small rock oyster)
Lineage: Eukaryota; Metazoa; Mollusca; Bivalvia; Ostreida; Ostreidae
Exons: 4
Source: RefSeq, a predicted model, not a curated record
UUUGUCUGUCAAUUGUUGCUUUACUUCCUUUGUAAAAUGAGGUUAAAUUGAGUAUCACUGAAUAUUGUAUGCUUUUUUUCAGGAUCAGCUAAGAUGUUGUUUCACUGGAUUAUUUAAUUGGGCAUAUAAUUGGAUAAUUCUGUCCUCAACAUGGAAGUUAUGUUUUAUUCCUAACCAUCUAUAAUCCAUUCUCUAUGAAGUUCAGCCUGUCUGCCCUUCCUUUGGAAAUACACAGUUAGUCAACCAACAUAGAAACACACAAACUUGAAGGGAAAGAAUACUAUAAUGUGGAUCCUGGGGAUCAACAGUGAAACAUCUUAAUGACCCUCAUGACUAGGUCUUCAGGCUGUAACCUUUAUUGCUGAUGUAAGAUGAUCUGUUUGCAUAGCAUUAAAAUUUCCUGGUGUUUCUACCAUCCAGGAUCUUCUUAUGAGUGCAUGGGGACUGCUGUGGACCUUAACCUGUUUAUAAAAAUAUACCUUGGAGCAUGACCCUUUAUUCAUAGAAGGAUUCUCAAUGGGGAACUCAGUAAAUUAUGCACAGACUAACAGAAUAUACUCUCUUGGAACACUGAUACAAGAAUAUAAAACCAGAGAUGGAUGGAGGAUUUAAGAAGCACAUGAAUAAAUAUGAUUUUCAAACUAAGUCAAUCAUGAUGAUCAUGAAUUGUGGUUCACAGGAUGACAGAGAAAGGACCCAGGAUAGUGCAUUUUUCUAGAUCCUCUCCCAUUCAUAUCCUUCAUAUGCUGGCAUACAAAACAAUAGAUAAAUUGUAGUCAUUUAACAGACUGAAGUUUAAUCAAAUCAAAGUAUUGAAAAUGUGUUUUUCUGAUAGUAUGAGAUCUUCAAAAAAAAUAAUUCUCACAGAUUUCAAAGUAUAUAAAUAUAACUUUUAAUUUAUGUAGUCCAAAUUGAAUACAGUUGUUAUGUAUGACUUUUAUACAUUGAAUCCUUAAUUUUUCAUCUUAUAUCUACAACACCCCUAGAAAAUACACAGAUAUUCAGAAGCUA